RNAcentral lists this long non-coding RNA (6562 nucleotides) under Xyrichtys novacula (pearly razorfish). The record is from RNAcentral. Lineage: Eukaryota; Metazoa; Chordata; Actinopteri; Labriformes; Labridae.
GCGUUGUGUUCAAAUUGGGGAUAAAAAGGAUUCACAUCAGCUUAAACUUUGUGCAUAAUGGAAGAUGCAUCUGUUUCUGUAAAAUCAGCUUUUUUCCCCCUCCCAUUCUAAUGUUCAAACAGCUUUUGGCUUGAAUUUUCCACCAAUAUUGCAGACUUGUAGCCUUGGCUCUCUCAGAUGUCGUAAUUGACUCCAUCACUGUCUUCUACAUGGUGUUUAGAAUAACAAGUGAGGACCUGAUGGUGAUAUCCAGUCCAGCUGAUAUGAUAAUUUGGAAAUGAAGUUGAGCAGAGAAAAGCUUGAAGCUUAGGCUAUUUGAAUGUAACAGGAGGGUCAACCCAUGCAGAUAGACAUUCAGGGAACAUUGGUGCGUAUUACAAAGAGCCUGAGGCCGCAUUCAUGGUGGUUACUGAUACUAUCAUAGUAUCAUUGUUCUCCUGCUUAAUCGCUGUGGCUAAUGACAGGAAAUGAAAUCACCUACUGUAGACCAAAACGCUUCCCACAGAAUAAUUACUGCUGUUGACCUUGUGUGUCUGCGUGGUCUGCAAGAGCUCAGUGAUAACACUCACCACACAUUUAGUCACUGCAUAUAACAUGAACUUCUUCAGGCUGCUCUAUUAACCUUUUUCUCAUAACGGACAAAGCUCUUACACAUGUGUUAAAAUCUAGAUGAUCUAAUAAAACCCCAGUGAUAUCAUCUGAUAUUAUCUGUUCUGUCAUGUUCACAUGGUUUAGAAGAGUAAAAACAGUUUGUUUGUGCGGGCAGUGUGAUAAUUUACCACAGUACAAAGCCCUAGAGGAACAUGUCACUGUAUUAUUAUGUCUAAAUUCCCUUGCAUAUACUAAAUUAUUGCUUGUGCUUUUAUAUUACUCUCUAUUAUUUCAUUAGCACAAAGUGUGAAAUUGUUUCCACUGCAUUUUUUUCAGUUUCAGUUAGUUUUGCAUAUUUAAAGAAAACUAUCUCACAGAAUAUGUGCAUGGCUUCAAGUCUUUCUCUAAUUCACACCAUGUAUUAACACUGGAUGCCAUGGUGUGGGACCAUCAGCAUAAACUAAUUCCACUCAUAUGCAUUCACACUCUGUUGACAAUGUCAUAAACUUGGGGUCUGGUGUUUUGCCCGAGGACUUUUGAGCAUGUGACUGUGAGGAGCCCUGGAUCGAAAGGUCGACCCUCCAAAUUCUGGAGAUGACUGACUCUAUCACAGUGUAUCAUACUGACACAACAGCUGAAAACAUGGCAUAUUUUUACAUGCAGAAGGAGCUGAAACAAAAACUUACUAUACUUAGCUAACGGUCAUGUUACUUUUUGAGAUCUUUUCAACACACGCAGCUGGUUAUACUGCACGAUUUUGACUGUGAACAGUUCAUAGAUAAAGCCAGGUAGGUGACACAGAUACAUAAAUAAGAUACAAAGAUACACAGAUACAAAAUGAUAAAAUUAAUACCACUCUUGUAGCUUUUUGUCUUCAAAGGGUUAAUGCAGACUGAUGUGGAAAACAGCUAGCCUGGUUCUCUCCAACUUCUCAGAAGCAGUCUGUGCUCACACACAUGAAACCCUGGCGAUCCAGCCUUUGGGCUCUUCAUACCCAAACUGCGGGUUUCUCGAAGGACAUUUCAACCAUCUGCUGACUCUGUAAAGUUGGGAAUAAACUCAUUCAGGCAGGCAGGAGUUUGGUUAAUAUGUUCAAGCAAGAUUACAUACUAGGAAUGUUUGUUUACUUAUUUUGUGAUUUACUCUUGAGUUUUCCUUGUUUUUUAUGGUUGGAGUGGCCUCUUUAUUCUCUUGGCUUCUGUACUUGUUAAUUUUGUAUUCAGGCAGAGUUUCAGUAGUUAACUGCAAUAAAUCACAUUUUUUAUCUUACGUUUCAUAUAUUUUUUAAUUUUGCACUUCAAAACAUUUUUUUUUUGUUCAUAAUAACAGUGUAUGGCGAUUCUUACCAGCGUCUUGAUUUGAAAAUUGAAUUAAUUUAAUGACAUGUAUUAUAUCAUCCUGACUUUUAGAUUUAUUAUUCAAAUAAGUGCUGCACUGCUUUACCGGUGUGGUCUGAAACCAUAACUUAGAGGAGAAGAAAAAGCUUAACAGUGCUUCUUCUGUGAAAACAGUAUGUGUCUUUAUUUUCUAAGGAUGAUUCUGUUGCACUUGAAGAAACGUGCAAGGAUGCAUGUAUUAAAUUGUCAGUAUAGCAUGCAGGCAUUACCCAGUGAUGUUCAGAGAUCAUUGAUGACAGCAAAAGCAUUUGCAAUUUUCAGGAGUUUUGCUUUGGUUGCUUGUUCUUUUUCAUUUAUAAAAAUAUCAUGGUAUAGUACGAUAAAACGUCAUAGUGUAGUAUGAAUAAAAGUAUUUGAUAAAAAAGUGACAGUAUAGUAUGAUAAAAAUGUCAUAGUAUAGUAUGAUAAAAAUGUCACAGUAUAGUUAAAAAUGUCAAAGUACAGUAUGAUAAAACGUAAAAGUAUAGUGUGUUAAAAAUGUCAUAAUAUAGUACGAUAAAAAUGUCAUAGUAUAGUAUGUUAAAAAAUAUCAUAUAAUAGUAUAGGCAUAGUAUAGUAUGUUAAAGAAAUCAUAGUUAAGUAUGUAAAACUGUUGUUACUUAAUCACAACAUGCCAACUUCAAGAUUCUCAUUCUCCAAAUGGCACCUUGACUGCUUUUGUGAUGGAGUUGUCUGUUGACAUCAGUCUCAACACCUGUAACUGUAUUCUUAGCUCGCGGCUCAAACUUGAGAUACUUUCAGGUGAUAUCCAGUUUAACACUCAGGGCUCUAUUUUCGUGCCUCGCCGGAGACGUGGUGCAGGCGCGGCGUAAGUCAGGUCCGCCGCGCCGACAAGGCAUUCCCAAGCACAAUUUGGUAUUUUGGUGAGAGGCGCAGCCCGGCGUAAGUAUCCCCCCUCCCUAACUCAGCUCCUCCCAGCGGCGUAAAUCAUAGCGAGGGAGGAGAGAGGGCGUGGAGUGGGUUUAACACAGCCGAGACCUGUUUAUCACAUGAGCUUCUCUCCUUGCCUUUAAAUCCACCACCGGCGAGGCGUAUUACUAUUUUCUCGAAGUAGUCAAAGAGAUCGAGAGAUGUCUGAAGACAGCAAUGCCACACGAUGGCGACAGAAGGCAGCCCCUCAAAAAGUGUCGCUGUAAACGCUGCAUUGGGCGUCCUCCACACUCUCUCAUUUAAGCACAGAUGGAUUUGGUGUGUGUAAUGUUGGACCCACUGGUAAGACAAACACCCUUUUCCACAAAUAAAGACACUCACAUAAAGUUGCAUAUAUUCAAACCUCACGUGACAAAGGUGGGUUGUGUGCACAGAUCACAACAUAAACUCCAAAAAUGGCAUUAAAAUCGGAACCAUCUGUGCGUAAAUGACGCAUCGCGCUCCGUAGCUCUUUCUUUCAUAGAUUGGCAUAUAAAAUAAAUUUGGCUCACAAAACUGAAUAUUAUCAUAUCCGUAUGUAGGCUUAAAGUAAAUAACUCAUCUGAGCACUGAAACAAAUCAUCCGUUCAGCCACUGCAGCAGCAGCAGCUGACGAAAAUACAACUGCGCGGGGUCCGCCACCCUCCGCCGCCUCACCGGCGUACACGAAAAUAGAGCCCUAUGUGAUUAAAAGAGCUACCUUUGGACCUUGAUUGAACACCUAAACCCUGGUGUUUAUGUAAAACAUUUCUGACGUCUAUUGAGAAAAGCCCCACAUAAAUAGAUUUCACAUACUUACAAAUGGUGUCAACAAACAUGUAUUUAUUGUUUCAAAAAAGAAAAACUCUUCAAAAGUCAAGGAGCUCUCAAGGAUUUUUUUCAAUCAGUGACUGAACCACUCAAGCCUUUUCCCUUUUGUUUCCCUUUUUAGUGUUACAUUUCUAUUUUUUCAGGAACUCAUGAAAUGUUAGUCAGAAAAGCAAAAGUGUUUUUCAGUUUCCUUGACUAUGAAACACUAAAAAAACAUAAUCCAUGUUCCUCUUCUGCUGAAAGUUGAUUCUUUUCAGGAUAGACGGUUGAAGCUCCAACUCUAAGUUUGUUAAAGGUGUUGAUGCUGUUUGUGUGUGUGUGUGUGUGUGUGUGUUUGCCUUGACCUUGGGAGCACUGCUGGGUGCCAUUGAUUUGUUUACCUGUGAGCUCCUGACAGUUUCUCAUUAGGUUUCUUUUUCACAACACUUCCAGGAGAGUAGCCCAGAGUCUGCUCUUUACAGCCGACGAUGCAUGAUCAAUGUACCUGAUAGAUCGGCGCUGGCAAUAUAAUUCUGUUGAAUGGCUGUUUAAUGGAUGUGAGCGCUCCAUUUAGUUGCCACAAUAAGGUACCUUUUGUGACUGGAGCAGCAUUGUAGUGCUGUAUGAGAGGGAAAACAAUAUCUUGAAAGAAAGGCUUUGUUAAAGUUACCAGGGAAGAGAAAAGCAAAAACUGUGUUGUAUAACAACGACACAAGAGAGUAGUGGAAGCACUUGCAUAGUUAAAUAAAUGCAGUGUAGCAUCAUUAGGGCUUUUUUUACCAUUUUUUAUUUAGAAAGCAGGCAUGCUGAAUCUUAUAGCUCUGAAUAAAUAAAGAAAAAGGAGCAACACGAUAAUGCAAAAACAAUUCCCUCUGUACUUGUGACCAAUAACAAACAUUUUCUCUAAAUGCUGCGAGUAUAAGUUGUAAAUAUAGCACCUUUGGAUCUGUGUAAUAAUGCUUUUAAAAGCACAGCUGUACAGUAUAUAAUGUGGCUGCUUAUAAAUUAAGUAAACUGCAGUAUUUACAGCAAAGCUUUCAAGUAAUUACCUGGAGUCCAACCUUAUUGUUGAUUUCCAGCAGGAGUCUCCUUGGGAAAAGCUCUAAAAAACCUUGUUUUGAAAUUGAACAUACCUACAUAAAUAGCUAAAAUGGUCACAAGGAGGCAGUAUUGUCACUCUUUCCAGCAGUCCUCCUGCUUGCCUGCACUGGAAUGUGGUGCUAGAAGAAAUCCACUUAUUUAAAGUGUGAUCCUGAUUUGCCACUGUAAUCCUGUAAAUUUUGCUGAGCCAAAAAUAAAGUGCGAAUGGGAAAUCUCUCUGGCUCUGCAUUCCUAGUUCCUGUUCCCCCCCUCGCGACACAGAGUGACACAGCAAUCAGCUCGCGAACAAAUCAAGGUGUAAUUACAUCUCAGGUGACAAGACCCAAAUGACAUCUCGAGGCUGAAAGGGGAUUUUAUACAGACUGAAAGCUGACAAGACUUGUCUGCAUUUAAAUCGGCGAGGAUUUACAUUGAGUCACUGGGAAGACAACUGCAGCUCUGAUUAGACCCCCACGUGUUGUUAACAAAAAGAGAAACACUGACUCCAAAUGUGUGCAGACAUAGAAGGGCAUAUAUCAUGUACAGCAGCCUGAGGCACUGCACAGGCUGUCCAGUUCUAGGUGUAGUUAACAUCAUAUUUAUCGGGCUGAGAGGUGAGGAUAGGGGGCAGCCAUUCACUAAUGAUCAAAAUAACACUUUGUCAAUGUGAUAGCCCACUGUUCCUCAUUUUUUACACCCACCGACAGAACAUUUCUCAUGGCUUUGUUUACACCGGUGCUGCUGCCCUUGUGGUCAGCUGUGACAUAUAUAAAAUGUUGCCCCAUAAACUAUCAUUAUUUUCAUUGCAGUUGAUGUAUUGCUAUCAUUUAGUGGUGGAAACAAAUGUCUUGAGGAAGACGUAUUGGCUUGCAACUUUGAUUCCAACAUCAAUGACAAUGUGAGGCUUUUGUUUAUGGAAUUGGGGAGCAACAGAUGGCAAGCAUAUCUAUAAAUAAGUCGCUCUUCUGAACAGGAGAUUAGUACAUUUGAGCCGUUUUUUAAUGGUCUCCGGGAGAGAUUAAAAAGUAAGCUGAUUCAUAAUGCGUCUCUCUAUGCACUGAAUUACUCAUAAACAAGAUUCUGCAAAGAUCUGCGGUAAAACAACCUCUCAUCAUGCUUAAGAUAUGUAAAAAAGGAAGAAAGCAUGUCAUGUUUCUUGUCUGCAUGAGUGCAAUUUCAUAAAUCUUAAAUGUUACAAUGUUAUAAAGUCAUUUAGCGGACACUUUUAUUCAAAGUGACAUAUGUUCGAGAGAGAUCUAGACAAGAAGAAACAAGAUCAGUAAGUGCUUCAGGUCCAUUUGCACUUGGACUCUAACGUCAGGUUAAAAUGACUGACAAGCAUUACUUAGUUACACAAUCUAUCUUUCUUCCUUCUGUACAUAGAUAACUGCAGACCUUUCAACCCUGUGUACCUCAACUGGCAAGUGUGCAUAUUUUCACCACGUAUUUAUAUAUAGUAGAUAUAAAUUCAUAUAAAUCAUCGUUAAAGCCCGAAGCAGUUACUCUACAGUGCAACUCAAGCUCCAAAAGCAAAAUAACCAAUAGCAGAUUUCUGAGUUCACCGAGGAUAUAAUGUUAAUAAAUAUACAUAAACCUAUCUUGGUGUUAGCCUCUGGGUCACAUUUUCUCAAAGUUAUUGAAAUAGAAUGGAGAGAGAAAAAAAAAUACUCAAUUAUAUAACCACUGCUGAUCAGCCUACAGAUAGCCGCCCACCUGAGGCUACCUCGGCAUCCUCAACAAAUAUUGACGGAAUUCUUAUCUUUUUUUCCACAUAUUCGAACAAACACAAGCUGAAC